CCGUUGGGGAGCGACCGUUAGGGGGCGGCCGUUGGAGGGCGGCCGUUGGGGGGCGGCCAUUUGGGGGCGGCUAUGAGGGGGCGGCCCCGGGCUCUGCGCCCCCUCAGGAGCGGUGGUGGGGCGGCCGGGGGAGGAAGAGGAGGGAGGCGGCAGCCCCAUGGUGGAGGGGGUGGUUUUCGAGGCGCAGGAGCAGCGAGGGUUCGCUCCGAGCCCCCCUUGUGAGGGCACUCCCGUGUCCCGAAUGCGGUGUGUGAUCGGCAGGUCGGGAUUGCAAGGAUGUUGAUUUGAAAGCAUGUCAGGAAGGUUUGGAUAACUCUUGUCCACACCAAGAAAAUAAUCAGUUGAAACUGGAAGAGGAGGAGGAGGAAGAAGACAUAAAUCAAGUAAAUGAUGAAAAAAAUGAAAGAAGGGAAAACUCUAAAGUGGAAGUGAGGGAGAAUGUAGAUUUUAUCAGUGAAGUAAAAGUAGUGCAAGAAACUGAGUAAAUGGUUUGAAAGGAAUAUUUGAUUUCCUCAUUUAGGAUUUGGAGGUGUCCUUUGCAAGGACAGGAAGGGAAGACUGACCUAGGACUAUGUUUUGUAAAAGAUGACCUUGUUCGCCGCCCUGAAAAUCCCCCUGUUCCAGUACAGUUUAUAUAGAUGAAAUAUUCUAAAGGUUACAGAAAUUACUUGUAACUAACUAAUUACUCAAUUAUUAUUUUUUUCCAUCAUGAAGGUGCUGUGUUUGAGUAAGGGUUGUUUUUUUUAAUAUGCAAACGCUUGAGACAUGAAUGCUAAAUUACACUGCUUUCACCAUUUAUGUGAAGCUUUAUGCUUGGUUACAGAAUGACAUUUGGGAGACUUGAUUGUUUGGAUCUGAAGGUAUGUAUUGUAACCAGAAGUUAGAAAAAGAAUCUCAUGGUGUUAAACCAAAA
This is a long non-coding RNA of Cygnus olor (mute swan), 913 nucleotides long. RefSeq lists it as uncharacterized. The record is from RefSeq and is a predicted model, not a curated record. NCBI's taxonomy places the organism in Eukaryota, Metazoa, Chordata, Aves, Anseriformes, Anatidae. The transcript is spliced from 3 exons.